Molecule: small nuclear RNA, 274 nt
Filed under: Oryctolagus cuniculus (rabbit)
Lineage: Eukaryota; Metazoa; Chordata; Mammalia; Lagomorpha; Leporidae
Description: 7SK RNA
Rfam family: 7SK RNA
About the family: 7SK was discovered as an abundant small nuclear RNA in the mid-70s but a possible function has only recently been suggested. Two independent studies have found that 7SK RNA binds the CDK9/cyclin T complex (known as elongation factor P-TEFb).
Source: Rfam by way of RNAcentral
AAAUGUGAAGAUGAUCUGUUGAUCACUAGGAUUGAUUCAGCUGGCCUGGAUGGCUGGGUUGGAAUCCUCCUCCUCCCUCACUACUCCAUGUGUAGCCUUCCUGAAGCUGUGGGCUGGGCUGAAACGAUGAUCUUUCCCAACAAAAGAUGGUUCUUUAGUCAAGAGUGAACUAGGAGCUGUACUCCCUGCUGGACUUUCCAAACCCAUUCUCACAGCACCACAUUUAAAAUAGAAGGUAGAAUUCCAAGUCUCACAGGAAUAUCUAUCAAGUGAU